AGUGAACGCUGGCGGUAGGCCUAACACAUGCAAGUCGAACGGCAGCACAGUAAGAGCUAGCUCUUAUGGGUGGCGAGUGGCGGACGGGUGAGGAAUACAUCGGAAUCUACUUUUUCGUGGGGGAUAACGUAGGGAAACUUACGCUAAUACCGCAUACGACCUACGGGUGAAAGCAGGGGAUCUUCGGACCUUGCGCGAUUGAAUGAGCCGAUGUCGGAUUAGCUAGUUGGCGGGGUAAAGGCCCACCAAGGCGACGAUCCGUAGCUGGUCUGAGAGGAUGAUCAGCCACACUGGAACUGAGACACGGUCCAGACUCCUACGGGAGGCAGCAGUGGGGAAUAUUGGACAAUGGGCGCAAGCCUGAUCCAGCCAUACCGCGUGGGUGAAGAAGGCCUUCGGGUUGUAAAGCCCUUUUGUUGGGAAAGAAAAGCAGCAGGUUAAUACCCCGCUGUUCUGACGGUACCCAAGGAAUAAGCACCGGCUAACUUCGUG
Molecule: ribosomal RNA, 492 nt
Filed under: uncultured bacterium
Lineage: Bacteria
Description: partial 16S ribosomal RNA
Rfam family: Bacterial small subunit ribosomal RNA
Source: RNAcentral